Long non-coding RNA from Amphiprion ocellaris (clown anemonefish), 1573 nucleotides. The record is from Ensembl. NCBI's taxonomy places the organism in Eukaryota, Metazoa, Chordata, Actinopteri, Pomacentridae.
CAUGGUCUCAGUGAUGCAACAAAUGAAAUUGGAAUAAUGACAAAGAUGUAAAUUUCUGUCUGUGGUCGGGCAGGAAGUGCCUAAAUCUGGAGAGACACACCUUCAGUCUGACUCUGAGUCAGUGCUGAGAGACUCUGAGAACUCCUGGAAACCGAGCCCACAGAAAAAACUGAUGUCAAACCUUCUGAGAACCCAACAGCCGGCUGGUUUCCUCAGAAGACACUUUGAUUCAGGAUGGACAGAGGAUAAAUAUCAGCAUCAGCAGCAUGAAGGCUUCACAUCACAUCAUUCACAGGACAAGACCAGUGGACCAGACUGAAGUCUCCCAGCUGCUGCACACCUCCAUCUCAAGGCAACAAUGCAUUGUGGGUACCUGCGUUUCCUGUUUCUGGUGCUGUGGGCGGAGCUUGCAGCAGGUAAAGCGUUACCUACCGACAGACCAGACACUGAAAUGCAAAGCAUCAUUGAGGACCUGCUGGCGGCGCUGCAAAACUAUAGUCGUGUCCUCAGAGAGACGGACUCCCUGAGAGAUCUGCCAGUACAGCCCUGCACAGAGGCUCCUGCUCACCUGACCCAGAGCUUGACUGUGGCCAGCAGACUGUUGCACUAUAAGAACUGUGCUGAGAAGCUCCGAGCCUUCUGUCCAGACAACAGCGCUCUGUGUCGAGUCGUGGUCCUGAACCAGGACCUGCUGCAACACCUGAUAAACACAAGAUACUGUUCAUUCAAGGCAGCUUCGGGGAAUUUGGUGAAGAUGCAACACUCACGGAUUCGCCUCUGUCGGCACAACAACAGGACGCUGAGCGCCAUGGCGACGGUCAACAGGACGACACACACGGCACCAGUGAUGGAGGCCAGCAGCACACACUGACUGGACUUUCCUGCAGACACAUCGAGCAUACAGGCGCAGUAGAAACCUUAAAGAAUAUCUGGAUAUCUGGAUUUCAUCUCACAUGAAAAACUCUUGCACACAGGACACCUCCACUCCUGCAGACCAGCUCUCUGCAGGAACAUGAACCUGUUGGCUGAUGACGACCGCCUGGCUGACGGGGAGGAUGGUGGGACUGAGCUGCUGGAUGCCAUCAGCCCCAACCACCUCCCAGUCCACCGUGACCUGAUCAGGGUCCUUCACUCCAGACACCAGACAGGUCAACGGGAUGGGGAGGAACGAGUUGACGUCUGAGGGGACCAGGAGCUCGACUGCAGGACUUUGGAGCUGCGACUCUGAUGAGAAAGUCCACAGUUUUUUGAUUUCAACUUAAACCAGACUCUAAAGUUGUUAGUCUAUUAAGUUACAGAUUACGCUCUUGCAGAGAGGAACAGAAGUUCACCUUUGGAGGAUGGAGGAGCUGUUGGACGCAAAAGACUUUUCAACAAGCAGGAGUCCGUUGAUGUAGACGCAGUAAUGCCUGCCGACGUCCUGCAGGGUGGCCUUGGAGAUCUCCAGCCGACACACCUUCCCUCUAUCAGCUCCAGACACAACGCUUGAGACUCUGAGGUUGCUCACCUGUCCGACGUGCAGCCACGCCACCUCAGAGCACCGCCCACCUGUCUCAGUGACGUCACACUGGAG